This is a long non-coding RNA of Gossypium arboreum, 464 nucleotides long. RefSeq lists it as uncharacterized. NCBI's taxonomy places the organism in Eukaryota, Viridiplantae, Streptophyta, Magnoliopsida, Malvales, Malvaceae. The record is from RefSeq and is a predicted model, not a curated record. The transcript has 3 exons.
CCCUCAAUUCUUCCCCCUCUUUCCUAAUAUCUAGAUAUCGUGAAUAUGGAUUUGAAAUGCAUAUUCAGCCUAGCAAUCCUUGUUUCCCAGAUAUCGCUUUCGUCGACGCAAAAUGUGAACGUUGUGAUUCAAGGAGCAACAUCAAUUGGUGAAACAGAUGAUAACUUUGUAUGCGCUACAUUGGAUUAGUGGCCUACUGAAAAAUGCAACUACAAUCAAUGUCCUUGGGGAAAGGCUGGACUAUUAAAUUUGGAUUUGAAAAAGAAGGGUCUGAUAAAUGCAAUAAAAGCAUUCAAUCCUUUAAGAAUCAAAUUUGGUGGGUCGUUGCAAGAUCAAGUGGUGUACGGAGUAGGAGGAGUUAAGAAUUGCCCCAAUUUCAUGAAAAAUGAAGAUAGUUUAUUCGGAUUCUCUUAGGGCUGCCUUCCCAUGGAAAGAUGGGACGAACUCAAUAAAAUUUUCAAUCA